Molecule: unclassified non-coding RNA, 342 nt
Filed under: Zea mays
Lineage: Eukaryota; Viridiplantae; Streptophyta; Magnoliopsida; Poales; Poaceae
Description: misc RNA Zm00001eb377940
Source: RNAcentral
UAGGAGACGGCUACUCUGGUGAGAGCUGCAAAUCACCUCCUGCGUGUCCAGGUGUCCAGCACCACUCCAACGCUGACGCGCAGGUCCCCUCCCUUUGCUCCUCCUCGGAUGUGCCAGGCGACGAGCUCCUCACCGUGAGCCCUCCACUCGGCACCUCGCCUCCUCCUCGAACUCCGUUCAGCGCUCGGCCUCAACCCAGCGGAGCUCAACUCCAGGCGAGGCAAGACGAUGUCGUGCUUCACCCAGCUAAGCCUCCACGCCUGAUGCCCUCCUUGCGCGCUGCCCCAAGCCCCAGCCGCCAGCCGCCAGCCACCCCCGUGCCGCCAGCCCCGGAUUCACAGC